Molecule: small nuclear RNA, 200 nt
Organism: Cynara cardunculus var. scolymus (artichoke)
Lineage: Eukaryota; Viridiplantae; Streptophyta; Magnoliopsida; Asterales; Asteraceae
Product: U2 spliceosomal RNA
Exons: 1
Source: RefSeq, a predicted model, not a curated record
ACCCUCUAAUUACAAUUUAAAUAUUAUAAAAUGUAGUAUUUGUUUUUAUCAGUGUAAUAUCUGAUAUGUAGGUCAUCGACCCCACUUGAUAUUAAAUUUUAUUUUUUAUGAGGAAAAAUUCAUUAUCUUAGUUUAGAGAUGUGGUUUUUCAUGCAUCGCUUUGAAUUUCCACUACUGUUGCUACAACUUACGCAUUCCUC